AAAAUCCGUCGACUUUAGAAAUCGUGAGGGUUCAAGUCCCUCUAUCCCCCCAAAAAGACCGAUUUGACUAUUUCUCCUACCCUCUCUUUUUUUUAGUGGUUCAAAAUUCGUUCUCUUUCUCAUUCAUUCUACCUUUUUACAAACGUAUCAGAGCAGAAUUUUUUUUUUUAUCACAAUCACAAGUGGUGUGGUAUAUAUGAUAUACGUACAAAUGAACAUCUUUGAACAAAGAAUCCCGAUUCACAAUUCAUAUCAUUGCUCAUACUGAAACUUAUAAAUUAUUCUAUUCAAGAAAUCGAAUUCCACGCUCAAGACUUUUAAUACUUUUUUAAUUGACAUAGACCCCAGUCAUCUAGUAAAAUGAGGAUGAUGCGCCGGUAAUGGUCGGGAUAGCUCAGCUGGUAGAGCAGAGGACUGAAAAUCCUCGUGUCA
This 432-nucleotide transfer RNA is filed under the name Acer truncatum (Shantung maple). Its description in RNAcentral is "partial transfer RNA-Leu". The stretch from base 384 to 432 matches the Rfam family "tRNA", at positions 1 to 47 of the family's 71-position model. Lineage: Eukaryota; Viridiplantae; Streptophyta; Magnoliopsida; Sapindales; Sapindaceae. RNAcentral also lists the same sequence under 1 other name. The record is from RNAcentral.